Long non-coding RNA from Solanum lycopersicum (tomato), 2302 nucleotides. RefSeq lists it as uncharacterized. Lineage: Eukaryota; Viridiplantae; Streptophyta; Magnoliopsida; Solanales; Solanaceae. The record is from RefSeq and is a predicted model, not a curated record.
AUUUGUCUUCAUGUAUCAAUAUGAAUGUGUUCGCUAAUCUGUUGACCUUCCUCGGUCAAGAUAAGUUCCAACAAUUUUUACGAGAAACACCAUUUGAAUUUUUUUUUAUGAUUUACAUAACAUAAAAAUUCAAUGUCAAUUGUUGCGCCAUAGUUUUCUUCUUGAAACUGAAAAUGACAGAGAUAACAUGUUUGUUAUCAACGUAAAUGGUGCAGAGUUACACUUUGGAUUAAAAGAGUUUGUCGCUGUAACCGGUCUGAAAUCUGGACCAAUUUAUUAUUUUGUUUCUGACCCGUUUAUUUCAAGUAGACUUAUCUCAGAAAAUUUUGGGGAUAUGGACAAAGUCCCCAAGUCAAAUUUUUACCACAAGUUUAGAUUGGAAAACUUUUUGAAAGAGGAUGACCGUUUAAAAAUCGGAAUGCUGUACUUCAUUCCGUCAUUUCCGACUGCUUCAGACCCUUCAAAAACAACAAUUCCUAAAUUAUAUUUUGAUUUAGUUGAGUCUGGCCAGUAUGCCACGUUUUCAUGGGGGGAAUGAGUGUUUUAAUUUAACACUUAAAGCGUGCAGUUAUAAGUUAUAAAAAAAUCCUUCGUCAUUCAAGUUUAGCCAGUUCCAUAUAGCCUUGUUGGUAUGGUUUAUGAGUGUUGUCAUCCAUUUGAAAACACAAUUGUUAUCCAUGCUUCAGAUCGCACACCGCGUAUCCUGAACUGGAAGACAACAAAUGAUGUUAUUUUUUGAUGAUUUGAAGAAAAUGAUUUCAAAACACAUGACAAUCAGCAAAAGUUCAGAAAUAUAAUUUUUACUGAAGAAGAGUUAAAUGUCAUGGAUGAAACCAUUUUAAAUCAAUCUCUCAGUCACUAUGAUUCUGAAGAGCAAGGAAUCUCGGAAAAGCAGGGCGUUGAUUUUGAACAAAAAUACGUAGAGUUGAAAGCAAAAAUUGCAGAGAUGAAGCUCAAAAGUCAACUGGUGAUUUUUUCAACGCCGACUUAUCUGGAUCAUCAACUUCAAAAUCACCAACUUUGGAUGAUUACCCUGAUUUUACUAUGACACAAAUCAUUGCACUUGAUCCGAUUCUAAACGCCACCACAACACCAGAUGUGCAACAAAGACACACGAACCCCAGAAAAUAUGAAUUUUCUCCUUAUAUUCGAUGUCGAAAGCCGAAAGCAGUUCAAAAAGAGUUCCAAUAUUCUUCCCGAUCAAACAUCCAUUCGCAUGUCAAAAUGAUUUUGACGUUCCAGCUUAUAUGAUUGACCAGUUCAACCAAUGGGUUAUGAAAGAUGUUUCAAAUAGGCGUGACAGGAAAGCAGCAUAUACAAAGGUGAAAAAUACCUUUCAUCCUCAAAUGGUCUUUGGCGUUGCCAAAAUCGCAGAAAAGGAUUUUUUUCACAUAAUGAGUCAACAGGGCAGACCUUAGGAGGACGGGCAUAUUAAUACAAUUAUGUGUUAUCUUCGAAAGAAGGCAAAAUACUCUCAAACAUCAAUUUCAUACAACACUGUUGACUGUUGGUUUAUAACGUGGAUUGAUAACAUUGAGAAAUAGUGGAGACUGUCAGAUUGUAACUUGAGAUCAAUUGCCCCCGACCACGACGUUGGUCAGUGCAUUAGAGGAUUUAAGCUGCUUGCUAACAUUGCUUGGGACAGAAUCGACGAAGUCCUUAUCUCUGUCAAUGUUUCUGAGAAAUUUUAUUGGUUUCUUGUUGUACUCCGAAUCAAACAUAGAUGUCUAUAUGUAUACGAUUCGAUGAGUGACGGAGUUGUUCAUAACAAAUUAGUUAAAGAAGUUGUUGAUAAACUUGCAACCAUGAUACCAUUAUUUCUGACAAGUACAGGGUUUUAUGGUAAAAGACUUGAUAUAUAUGCAAACAAUAUCCCUGAAUAUCAAAACAAGUCUGAACCCGAACUUCUCGAAAUCAAACAUGUAACAGAUGUUCCUCAACAAGAAGACAAUUCCAAAUGUAUGUCACAUUACUUUGACACUAUGCAAAAUCAAAGAAUAAAGAGGGAGCAAUAAGCGACAGUGAAGUUACAGGUACAGUUACCAGCAAGUAUGGUGGACCUCGCAUGCAAAAAGAACAAGUUAUGGACACCACCAAUUAUCCCACUCCAAGACCACGAAAUAGGAAAUAGAAAAAGUUCAGUGCACACUUUGCAUUCUUUUUGAACUUCUUGUUUUUUUUUAACAAUAUAACAAUUUAUGUUAUUUUCCAGUUUUUUUAUUAAUAUGAAUUUCAGUUUUGUUUAUAUAAUUUAUCAAUGUUACCCUUAUUUUUGUAUGAACUGAUUACUACGUUUAUACAU